RNAcentral lists this long non-coding RNA (268 nucleotides) under Physcomitrium patens. RNAcentral describes it as "long non-coding RNA (PPAT_LNC001902)". Lineage: Eukaryota; Viridiplantae; Streptophyta; Bryopsida; Funariales; Funariaceae. The record is from RNAcentral.
AAUUGUUUGUAGAAGUAUUCUCUUCAAGUCUUGCUAAUUUGAUUUGAAGAUCUCGCAUUCCUCAUAUAAUUUCUUCCAUCCCCAUAUCUGCUUUCUUUGACAAGGAUGUCGAAGGCUGAACUGUAGGCAUUGUUGGUGGUAUUGUACGUACUGGAGCUUUGGGUGCUUGUACUGUUUUCGAAAUAUUGCUCCUAUCCUUCCUCCUUUCUCUUUUUGUAAGCAACUCUACCGCAUCUUCAACGUUCUUCCACUUUGUUGUCAAUCCUUC